This is a long non-coding RNA of Teleopsis dalmanni, 969 nucleotides long. RefSeq lists it as uncharacterized. The record is from RefSeq and is a predicted model, not a curated record. The transcript has 5 exons. Lineage: Eukaryota; Metazoa; Arthropoda; Insecta; Diptera; Diopsidae.
UAAUAUCAAUUUAAUAUUUCCGGUUUUCUCAGGGAAUCAAAAUUCAAAAUUAAACAUGGAACCAGAUAAGAUCAAUGUUUUGUUAUUACUGCUAUAUUAUGUAGUAAUGACGAUCGUUUUAAAAAUAGAAUAUUUUUUCUUUUAUUACAUAUACAUAAGAAAUUGUAAACGAGAGAAAAUGUAUCCUGAUACUGUCAAUUUAUACCAACAACCAAACCAUGUUGAAACUAAUACACAUAUUGAUAACAUCCCGAAAAAAUAUAUCAACGAUCAAACAAGUCCACAGAUUAGAGAAGUUGAAAAUCCUGCAGAACACUCUGAAAAAACAUUAAAUACUCUUAAUUCUGAAAUGGAAGAAUUAUCAGCUGCCAUUGCAAGCUGGAUAGAAGCUCCUAACUAAGAACAUAUAGAUCUAAUGGAAGUAUUGUGACUCAAUACUAGGUCGUGAAUAUUGGAUAAAAAUUAUUAUUAAUUUUGUCACAGAUUUGGAUUAAAUUUAAAACAAAAUUUAAGAAGUGGAACACCAUAAAAUCAUGAGCGAAUUUCAUUUGAAUAACAGAAUGUCCACAGAAUUGAAAAUAUAUAUAAAUAAUACAACUAACUAUCUUAUACAACUAUCAUAUAUAGUCUUUGAUUGAAAUCGAAGAAAAAUGUUUAUAAAUAAUACAACAAGUUCUAAUUUAUUAUCUAUGGCAACAUACUGUAAAUAUCUUAUACCUUACCCAUGCAGAUAAAUAAGAAGAUAAAAUAAGAUCUGGACAUCAUUGCUAUUAUGAAAUAACUUUCAAAUAUAAGUAACUAUAUCUCUAGAAAAAACACCAUACCCUGUUUUAGAAUUAGUAUUAUAUGAAUCUCUAGAGGAAUACACUGCGCAAUGGAAAUGCAGAAGUAUGCGGAGUGCAAAUUUUUUGAUAAGCAACUACAACAAAUAUGAACUAAUAUUAUACAUAAUUAAAGAGCUUUUCUAUU